This 84-nucleotide non-coding RNA is filed under the name Schinkia azotoformans LMG 9581. RNAcentral describes it as "Bacillus azotoformans LMG 9581 ZMP/ZTP riboswitch aptamer (pfl RNA motif)". It matches the Rfam family "ZMP/ZTP riboswitch aptamer (pfl RNA motif)". Rfam says of the family: Previously known as pfl RNA. Lineage: Bacteria; Bacillati; Bacillota; Bacilli; Caryophanales; Bacillaceae. The record is from Rfam by way of RNAcentral.
AAAGCUAUAUGUGACUGGCGAGACGCGGACGAACCGCGAGGGAGCAUAUAGUGACGGAAAUGGCCGUUCGCCUGGGCUGAGGUA